GUUUCAGCAGCCGCGGUAAUACGUAGGUGGCGAGCGUUGUCCGGAUUUACUGGGCGUAAAGAGCGCGCAGGCGGUCGUAUGAGUCGCGUGUGAAAGCCCCCGGCUCAACUGGGGAGGGUCACGCGAUACUGUUCGACUUGAAGGCAGGAGAGGGAAGCGGAAUUCCCGGUGUAGUGGUGAAAUGCGUAGAUAUCGGGAGGAACACCAGUGGCGAAGGCGGCUUCCUGGCCUGUUCUUGACGCUGAGGCGCGAAAGCUAGGGUAGCAAACGGGAUUAGAAACCCCAGUAGUCC
This 292-nucleotide ribosomal RNA is filed under the name uncultured bacterium. RNAcentral's name for it is "partial 16S ribosomal RNA". It matches the Rfam family "Bacterial small subunit ribosomal RNA", at positions 505 to 796 of the family's 1533-position model. The record is from RNAcentral.